Molecule: ribosomal RNA, 253 nt
Filed under: uncultured bacterium
Lineage: Bacteria
Description: partial 16S ribosomal RNA
Rfam family: Bacterial small subunit ribosomal RNA
Source: RNAcentral
UACGAAGGGUGCAAGCGUUGCUCGGAAUUAUUGGGCGUAAAGGGUAGGUAGGUGGUGGUAAAAGUCCGAAGUGAAAUCCCUGAGCUUAACUCAGGACGUGCUUUGGAAACUUUAUCACUAGAGUACUAGAGAGGUUCGUGGAAUUCCUGGUGUAGCGGUGAAAUGCGUAGAGAUCAGGAGGAACAUCAGUGGCGAAGGCGGCGAACUGGAUAGUAACUGACACUCAACUACGAAAGCGUGGGGAGCAAACAGG